Suricata suricatta (meerkat) is the source of this 87-nucleotide small nucleolar RNA. Lineage: Eukaryota; Metazoa; Chordata; Mammalia; Carnivora; Herpestidae. The record is from Ensembl.
UGCAUAUGAUGUCUCUUUCUCCUGAUGGUCUACAGAUGCCACUGGGGGUGGGGCUGUCAAGGCCAAUGUCUCAGCUGAUGCCAGAAG